Molecule: signal recognition particle RNA, 301 nt
Filed under: Saimiri boliviensis boliviensis (Bolivian squirrel monkey)
Lineage: Eukaryota; Metazoa; Chordata; Mammalia; Primates; Cebidae
Description: Metazoan signal recognition particle RNA (ENSSBOG00000011963.1)
Rfam family: Metazoan signal recognition particle RNA
About the family: The signal recognition particle (SRP) is a universally conserved ribonucleoprotein. It is involved in the co-translational targeting of proteins to membranes. The eukaryotic SRP consists of a 300-nucleotide 7S RNA and six proteins: SRPs 72, 68, 54, 19, 14, and 9.
Source: RNAcentral
GCCGGGCAUGAUGGUGCGUGCCUGUAGUCCCAGCUACUUAGGAGGCUGAGGCUGAGGCUGGAGGAUCGCUUGAGUCCAGGAGUUCUGAGCUGUCAUGUGCUAUGCCGAUAGGGUGUCCGCACUAAGUUCAGCAUCAGUAUGGUGACCUCCUAGGAGCAGGGGACCACCAGGUUGCCUAAGGAGGGGUGAACUGGCCCAGGAAAUGGAGCCAGUCAGAACUCCUGUGCUGAUCAGUAGUGGGAUAGUGCCUGUCAAUAGCCACUGCACUCCAGCCUGGGCAACAUAGGGAGACCCCAUCUCU